GACAUGAAAGCUGAGAGAAAACCCUUCUACCUAGGAACUCCGGAGUUUCAACUACCAGAGACUGAAGGCAGGAGAGAAAAACUAAGACAAAUGACUUCAAAGCCUUUCUGAAAUGCCACAGAGGGUCAGGAUUACAAUCUGCCUAUUCUGAUUCUUCUACUAUGGGAAAAAAUCUUUUUCAGAAUUGAUGUAAAGCCUCUGUUAAUACUUUUCCUGUUAACAACCUAACUAUUCAACUGCUGAAUAAAAACCAUUAGGACAACUAAAGAAACUGAGAGAUUUUGGCAAGAAAUAGUCAUUCCAAUAUCAAUGACUACGGAGGAAAUGCAAUUACUUUUCUUUGCUUAAGUUUUCCAGGGCCUUUCUCUGUUGCCCAGGCUGGAGUGCAGUGAGGCAAUCUUGGCUCACCACAAUCUCUCCCUCCUGGAUUCAAGCAAUUCUCCUGCCUCAGCCUCCCGAGUAGCUGGGAUUACAGGCAUGCACCACUAC
Molecule: long non-coding RNA, 489 nt
Filed under: Homo sapiens (human)
Lineage: Eukaryota; Metazoa; Chordata; Mammalia; Primates; Hominidae
Description: non-protein coding lnc-SSU72P8-6:3
Source: RNAcentral